AGAAAGGUUGGCUAUUCUGUCACAAAUUUCUCAGAUGCCAGCUAGGGCUACCUCUGCCCCUCGCAUCGCAGCCACUCUUCUUCCUCCCCCAUUUCCCCCCAGAUAGAGCCUGCGUGAUCGAGUCACCCGCCAAUCGAUCCCCGACCAUGGCCUCCUCCGCCGUCGCCUGCCCGUGGGAUGCGCUCCCGGAGCACCUCCAGGAGCGCAUCGUCUCCCUCCUGCCUCUCACGGCGCUCCUCCCUGUAGCCGCCGUCUCCCGGGCACUCCGCCGCCUCCUCCGCUCCCCGGCCUUCCACGCCCUCCUCUCCCCGCACCGCCUCGACGCCUUCUUCCUCCUCUCCCCGCGCCACGCCUUCCACCUGCUCACCCGCCGCCUCCUCCCGCUGGCCGCGUCACGCCCGCUCGAUUCUUCCUCCCCGCCCCCACCGCUCGUCUCCUCCGCCUCCCCAUCGCUCGUCGUCACCGCUGCCUCGCUCCAACGCCUCCCGACGCUCCCCGACCGCUCCUAUCUCAUUGCUGUCAUAGUCCCACGCUCCUCCUCCACCAGCCACAGCCAGGAAUACACCCUUGUCGCCGUCAGCACGGGCGCGGCUGUCCGGUCGUACACCCUAGACUCCGCUGAUCCCUCACCAAGGUGGGAACCCCGGGGCGAGCUCCCACGGCCAUUUGCGCUUCUUGGCAACGCUGCGAUCGCCUGCGACCAUUCUCUGCUCUACGUGCUCGGCCGUGGUCCGGAUGCUCUUCUCUCGUUCGAUCUCGUGACGGGGCAGUGGAUGGUGCCGCCGGUUGUUAUGCCGCACGGCCUUACAACAGCCCACCUGUUUGUUUUUGAAGGGCGGCUCUUCUUGGUAGGUGGGGUGGAGGCGUUUGGGGUGCUGCAGCGGGUGGUGGUUUGGCAGUUGGACAACGACGAGGCAGCAGGAUGGAUGGAGGUAGGCACAAUACCUGCAGAGGUGUUCGAUGAGUUGGUGGCAGGCAGGCAUGGCAGUUUCUGGCACUUUCAGGCUGCAGAAAGAAUGGGGAUCGUUUGCCUGUACAAUGCUGUGGACGGUAGGCUGGUGAUGUUUGAUGUGGUGGAUUGUGCAUGGACAAAGCUGCCACGAGUGUCUGGCCUGGAUGCAGAAGAGAGCCGCCAGUGGUUUGGGCAUGUCUUGGAGCCGGGCAUCGAGCUCUUGCUGGGACAACGCUGGCCGUGUUUAUGAGGAUUUAGUGUCAGUGCACACUUGUCUAUCCAUGUUUACCAAAGAGUGUGAAGUUUUGUUCCUGGAAUUCGACAGUGACAGCAUCACUGAGGUCACACACAAGAUACCCCAGGGAUUAUUUGAGCACUGCCAAUAGACCUUUUUAUCAGGGUGGGCAAAAAAAAAAUUUUGAUGGCUGUGAUGGACUUGGUGCGUCUACAGUUCUUGCCACCGUAGCAGAGACCGUCACGUCUGCAAGAUUCACGUUUGAUAUAGUUAUCCGCGUGGAUUGCUCAGCUUGAGAAAGCAGAAGAACAUUGCAGCAAAGGAUCGGAGUGGCUAAAGCUCGGCACCUCAGCAGUGGCCUUGUUUGUCAGCGUAGCUAAAAGCUCUACAGCUAGCUGAUCUAUGAUGUGUUAAAGCACCGUAAGUUUGGUAAUUUUAAAUAAUGGGAGUAAUAAAGAGAUUUAUCUAGAUUUGGUAUUUUUUGUUUACUAUGAACUGUCAGUUUACUGCAUAAGGAGGCUGCCCAAGUUAGCCAUGAUAUCAACCCAGUAUUACUGUAAUCAUACGUUGUAGUCUAUGCAUUUUUCCUGCAUCAUAAGUUCAUAACCAUGCUAACUAUAUCGACUAUGAUCAGGAAGCCCACGCUUCAUACUGUUGGGUGUGUAUGGGAUUAUUAGGAGACAGUGCAGGGCCAAGAGAGUUUUUGAAGUGAUGGGAUCGGAGUAUCUGCACACAAAAGGAAAAUAAAGCAGGUGGUUACGCCAGUUUUCUAAACUCCAAGAAAAGAAGAGCUAAUGGAUUGCAUCAUAUCUGAGAACCUAGAGAGCCAAGACAUCCAGACCAUGCCCAAGGAGACAUCAUAUUUCUUGAAAUUGAAAAACUCUGGUCAUCCGACAGCAUUGCCGAAGCACUUGUUUGGACAGUCCAGCAAUCUUCAUGUGUUGAUAUUCUGCAGGUGCACCUUUAGUUUUGCCUCCCCUCCUUUUGCCAGCUGCAGUAACCUAAGAUUUAUUUUUAUAGAGGGAUGCAGAGAUGAAGUUGCUGAGUUAAUCAGCAAAGGAGAUGAGAAUGAAGCAUGACGGCUUAGGACAUACGGAUAUAAACUGGGAUUGGAUCUUAUACCUGUCAAAGAUUGGUACUGAUGAUUGAACUUGGGAAGUUAAAUCUAAAGGCUGCAGGAGCAAGUAGGUUUGCCCCGGACAUGACUAAGCCUGAGUUGACAUGCUUAUGUAAUCAUCAAAGGCUCCGCGUGAUUGGUUCUACUUUCUUCACUGCAGUACAUGACCCAUUCGUGGGAAUGCGGAAGCUCGAGCUUCUAGGCUUAUCUAGAAAUAAUGAAAUAGAAGAACUUGUCGGUCGCGAGUACACUGAAGGUGCUUGUCCUUGAUGGUUGUGUUAGGCUGCAACAUGUUGAGCCAGAGGCUCUCUCCAAAUCAUUGGAGUCAUUCAGUUUUGAUGGAUUUGGACAAGCAUCCAGGUGGAAGAAUUUGCUGCAGAUGCCAGAAAAGGAACUGCGGCGUAGUGCUUGCCUUAUCUCUCUAGAGGGUUGUGCCUGACUGAAGAGUAUAUUUUUGCGUGGUUUGCCAAAUGGAGGACCCGAAUCUCUGAUACAGCAAUCAACUCACGAGACUUUGAAGAUAUGGAGAUCCACAAGUUGAGUCUGAGUGGCUGUGAAAACAUGCGUAUGGUCGGCUGCAAGUUAUCCAUCGGUGAAGUUCUCUGUGCGGACACCGAGUGAAGGCAAAAAGUUACUCCCUCUGAUCCUGGAUGGUGAGUUGGUGACUGUCAGUGGUCUCAUUCCUACUCCUAGGAGGAUACAGCUCAUCAGUUUGCUCAUGUCGUGGCUACAUUCCUAUGAGGCUUCAGGUUUGAUCGGACAGAGAGAUAGAGGCAUUGUGUUCCGCAUUGGUGACACUACUGGAGACCAAUGUGGAACUUUCUGGAACCAAGUUCCUGUAAUUUAGCACUAUUGAUGAACUGGCUCUUUCGUCACGCACCUAUGAGUAUGUUUUUGAUAAGGUCGUCAAUAAGGAAACUCACCCGGACGCCGAACGGCAUUUUCGUAGUGCAGUGGUUUCAUUAGGCAAAUGUCACAAACGUCCAAGCUAAAAGAGGAGCCUGCACCACAGCAUGAUUAACAAUCUAAUGUCGAAGCUCUGUGUGCGACAUCAAUUGCCAAUAUCGGUUAUGGACAGCCAUGAUUGGACAUGGUCGCCACAAGGACAUAAACAGGGUUUCGCGAGAUAAAGAGCAUUUUCAAUGGGCUACUCUAAAGUUAUCUCAAAUGUACUACGUAGGCAAACGGACAUCUUGGCCUAAAAAUCAACUCUCAAUGAGCUACCUCAAAUGGACAUCUCUAUUGAGCUAAUAAAUGAAAUACCAUCAGUGCUCUAUUGAGCGAAUAAUGAAAUACCAUCAUUGCCACUUUGACGGAGAUCUGUGGUGAGUGUGACGGUGGCAGCGGUCUAUGGUUAGUGCGGGAAAAAAAAUGCAUGCUCUCACCAGUCACGACCAAACAUGUGUGGCAGAGCCUUUGAGUGAUUGCAUGUAUAACAGCUUGUUUGACACCCAUCAUUUGGCUUGGAAUCAUGUAAUUCAUUUACAGCUCGUUUGGUAACCUUCAAUUCGUUUCGUUU
RNA transcript from Brachypodium distachyon (stiff brome), 3823 nucleotides. It is a transcript of the gene named F-box/kelch-repeat protein At5g43190, with no coding region annotated. The transcript has 3 exons. The record is from RefSeq and is a predicted model, not a curated record. NCBI's taxonomy places the organism in Eukaryota, Viridiplantae, Streptophyta, Magnoliopsida, Poales, Poaceae.